UGUAAGCGUAUACCAAAGUUGUUGCAGUUAAAACGCUCGUAGUCGGAAUUUGGUAGUUCCGGAUGUGUGCACGUCGUGUGCGCACUUCGCGGGGAUUGCUUUUGUGGUCUUGCGUAGGAUGAGGCACUUUUAUUAGUGAACGUCCUCACGCAACCACUUUUUACUGUGAGAAAAUCAGAGUGCUCAAAGCAGGCAUUUGCCGUGAAUGUAUUAGCAUGGAAUAAUAGAAUAGGACUUGGUUCUAUUUUGUUGGUUUGUUGGGGCUGAGUAAUGAUUAAGAGGGACAGUUGGGGGCAUUUGUAUUUCGGCGCUAGAGGUGAAAUUCUUAGAUUGCCGAAAGACAAACUGCUGCGAAAGCGUCUGCCAAGGAUGUUUUCAUUGA
Molecule: ribosomal RNA, 382 nt
Filed under: uncultured eukaryote
Lineage: Eukaryota
Description: partial 18S ribosomal RNA
Rfam family: Eukaryotic small subunit ribosomal RNA
Source: RNAcentral